Molecule: long non-coding RNA, 6267 nt
Organism: Hemibagrus wyckioides
Lineage: Eukaryota; Metazoa; Chordata; Actinopteri; Siluriformes; Bagridae
Exons: 11
Source: RefSeq, a predicted model, not a curated record
CCUUUUUAUUCGUAUUUUAAAACCUACUUUUCUACAAAAUCACUGUAAUUCGUAAGAAUUUAUUUUAAAGAACAUUUGUUAGUUUGAUGCACCACUACAUUCAAGGGAGCUGAUAGUGUGUGUGUCACAGCUAUGUUUCAGUGCCAAAAAAUUAAUAGAUCAUAUGCUUAAUAAAACAAUGCAUUAUAAAAAAAAAAAAAGGUUAAUACAGCUGCCCAAAGCUGAGAUUGUGGCAUCUCUAACUACAGGUCUGUCAUUUGUAAGCAAUUAUUCUAAGUUUUAUUAAUACACUAGAGUUUGUGAUGCGUGUGUGUGCCAGUUAUGUUUCAGUGCCAACGAAAUUAGAUCAUAUGCUUUAAUAAAAUAAUAAAAAAAUGUUAACACAGAACUCGGCUAAUGAUAUGCUGCACAAAGCUGAAGUUGUUAUAAUUUUAAUUAAUUGCAAUAAUAGUAAUAGCUUUAAACAAAAAACACAUUGGUAUUCAAUUAAAUCUAGUGUCUAUUUCCUUAUGAAUGAGCCAGAUCCAACAGAAAUUAUUAUUUUUAUUAGUCGUAGUGCUAUUGAAGGGGUGGGGGGUGGAGGGGGGUAUUGGAUUGGGAAACAACGUUGUUGUUCUUGACAGGUUCACCUCAGGUGUUCUCUGAUGUAACAUCAUUAUUGGUGUGUACAGGUUCAGUGUGUGCGUCAUCAACAAAAGGAACUCGCAAAUAAGUCUCAUCUUUACACAAGACAUCUCAAAGAUGCAGUUUACUUUUCUGAAAACAAUAAAGGUACAGCUGUGCUCCAAAGAGAGACAUCAUGUGAUUUAGUGUUUUUUCAAUUUUUUGAAAUAUUGUAAUGCAUUUCACCACUCCAUGAAAUAAUUGUGGUGGCCUGCUUGUGCCAGGACAGCAAACAAACAUCCAGAAGCCGUUACCCUUGCCCACUUGGUAGAUGUAAAACCUUUUUUGCACGCUCUUCCAUCUACAUAAAGCUUUUGAAAGUCAUACACGGUAUUGCCUCUGAGAAAAAGCAAGUGACGACCGAUAUCACCACCAGAUAUUGAGGAGAGCGUUCCAUCACUUGUCAUUGACGGCAUUUAGAUUUGAAUUCGCUUGCUACCAGUGCGGAUACCACCCAGCUGUGAUAGCAGAUGCUAAUUGGAAAUUGGCUUUCGAUGUCCCAAUUGGAACUUUUAAAAGGCCUGAUCUGAUUUCUGACGAAGAUCUAGCGGUAGACAUUGUAAAGGCAUGGUCAGAUCUGGACAAGUCACUAAUAGCGGAAGGAUUGAUAUCAGUUUUGGAUAUAGUGACACCGGAACAACUGUGACAAAUCCAUACUGCACCAUGAGGACAGAACACCAGAGUUGGAAACAUACUCCCAAAAACUGAGGUCAAAAAGGCUAUGAAAAAAAGAAACCCAGAUGGCAUAAAGCAUCACCUGAAACGGAUAAAUGAGUACGCUAACUCACUGAAUCAAAGAAGCUUCACAAAAAGGAUCUCCAGGAUGCUUCUUAUGCCAUGGGUGUGUCCUCAGAGGGAUCCAUCGCUGAUAUGCUCAACAGGCUUAAACUUUAAGGAUAUUUACCCUAAACCUUUUCUGAAGCUACAGAAAGCUGGUGGUGAGAAAUAGCUUGACAGAAACCUCUCCAACCUACUUCUGGUGGCAAACUGAACAUCCCACCUGACAGCACUAAGUCUUCAUUUGUGGCACAAUUGUAUACUAUAAUUGAUGACAAGGAAAAGUCGAAGAACUUAUUCACUGACGGCUGUGAUGAAAAUCAAACCCUGGCUUGUCUCUCCCAGCGAUUUCCAGUGUCAAAGGAUAUCUGCAGUGUUUGCCAACCGGACUUGUUGGAAGAGUCUUUGUUGUCUAUGCCAUGGUUGACUGAUGUAAGUGUUAAUGAGUAAUCUUGUUUUGCAAUUAAGAUCUGAAAUGAAUUGAACUGUAAACAUAGCUGCUGUGUAUGUAAAGUGCAAAUGCUGUCAUUUGACUUGAUGCAAAAUCAGAUUUAUAUUAAGUAUUAACAGAUGUAUUACAGGCAGUUAACUAUCGAGUAGCCCAGUUGGCUCAAGAGAACAUGGUAAUGACUCUUAAUUUUCUCCCUCUAUGACCUUUUUACAUCAGUAUUAACGAUACUUUGUUAUAGUAUGGUUCUUUGGCCCAUUUUGAUUUUAUUUUGUGGCCCCGAGAAUGGUCAGACAGCGGAGAAGUCAGUGACCAGGUUGUGCAACGCAUCCCUGUAGGUUCUUUAGUAAUUUUGUUUUUUGUAUUAUACAGAAAAAUGUUGAACAGAACACAUCUGUUCCUCCUACCUGGUUUUAUUGUGGUUGUGUCCGACAAAAUAUUUCUCCCUAGAAUUGUGGGUGGUCACUCUCCAGAGGGGGAACCAUUUCAUUCUUUGAGUUUUUGACUUCACUGCUAAACAGAUUAUAAUCUAUGAUUCACUUGGAAUUUACACAACGAUUAGUGAUAGUGACAUGGACCUCCUCAGGUAAACUACAUUCCUCAUGAUCUGGUAAUGUUAUGACAGUAUAUUCAUACUAAACUAGUGCCAUCACCUUGAGUGUUUUAGUGCGUUUCUGUGAGUUGCUUGGGAAAUCAUUCUCAUCUCCUCCAUCUCAUUCUUCAGUGCAUGUGUGGCCUGUGGUUUUGUAAGUCUAUUUUGUUGCCAACUAGGCAGCUAAAAAUGAUGUCCUAAAUCGUAGGGACACUGCAGAGGCUUUGACUCUAAAUCAAUGCAGGACUCUCCGUCUGCACCUUGCUGCACAAAUGCUUGAAAAUGUGAAACCUGAGGUCAGAUUCCUCUGUCAAAAUCUGUACUGCCAAUAAGAGAAACGCAGUUUUACAGCAAAAUUAUUUGUUACACAGGACUUUCCACAAACGACUGAAGAAAUGCUAAAAAUGCAAAAGAACGAACUUGGACUACAGGAAGAAGGGGCAAAGACUAUAGACUCCAGUAGCCAUUGCAGGGCGUGUUUGUUCCAGUGAGCAACUGCAAAAACAAAGUAUGUACAGUAGAACUCACACAUCAACUUCUAUUUAUUUUUACAUCAGUUUACACAACAAAUUUGACAAGAUUGGUUCUACUUAAGGCACCUAUGACUGUAAGGUAAAACAGUGUCUGGUUGUCAGGGUAUUUGUGCUCUCCCAUCCAUUCAAACAGGUGAGUAACGGGUAAGUUAUUACCCUACCUCAACCCCUGUGUUUUUUUUAUCUGCUGCUAUAUUUAUAUUUAUUUCUAUUUUGCACUACCUCAACUGCUGCUAUUGGAUACAUGAACAAUACAUGUUGUCAGGUCAGAUGACAAGUUCAUCAUCUUCUCAUUUUAUUACAUUUCAUUGUACGUUUUCUUUGUUUCGGUGCUCAGUGUCCUGUGUUUUCGUGUUCUCUUUCUUUUAUUUAUUUAUUUUAUUUUAUUUUUGCACUGUCUUGUUGCUUUGUUUGCACCUAGCUGCACACUUGGCACUUUAUGUGGCUUGGACGAACUUUCAGUCCUAGCUUUGUGGUGUCCUUUAUGUUUGAACUUUAUGUUGUAUGUUUCUGUAGCACCAGGGUCCUGGAGAAACGUUGUUUCAUUUCACUGUGUACAGCUAUAUGUGGCUGAAAUGAAAAUAAAGCUUCUUGAACUUGGAGUAUCUGUACAACCAGGUUUUGUGAGAGACCUGUGAGAGAUAGGAAACAAGAUUGCAGACAGUGUGGAGAUCAAAAGAGAGACACAAUGGAGAUAAUUAGAAACGUAUAAGCUGUGAAUUUAAGGUAAGCACAGGAGGUAAGCGCACUGUGAUCAUAGGUGAAGCCAGAGAUUGAGUGAUUUGAACCUAUAUGCUCUUUAUACUUCGUGUGCUUACUUAACAAGUGACCCCGAAAGUUGCGAGAGUGGUGGUGAGAGGGGAGACUGGUGUCUCUGGGACAAUUAGGAAUAUGUUUAAAUACAAAAACAUUAUAAGACUUCAAAAGAUAUUGUGGAAUAAAGUUGUCCCGCGUCUGUUUUCUAACAGUGUUUUCCAUGACCGUGUCCAGAAGUACCAAUGGGUGCGGUGCACAGUUUGUGAAAACUGGCUGCGUUUUCAGUGUGCUGGUGUUGAAGGGGACUGGAUGGCAAUGGAUUUAUUUUGUGGCUGCAACAUAACUCCUGAUUUUAAAUUACAUCCUGGAGUGUGUUCAAGCAGAAGCCAUUCUGACAGAUGGAAAGAUAAAGGUAAUAAACUAAAAAUGUUAUCCAAUGACCUGUACAAGGUUUAUUUACCUAAAUGGCAUUUGAUGAUUAUACAUGCAUUUCAGCCUGGUUUAAUCUACAUUGAAAUAUGCAUUUAAUAUUACUUUACUAAUAUUUGGAAAGAAAGCUGCAGAGUGGACAGGUUCUUUCCAACAGAAUGUAUGUGUGGAAAAAUCGAGGAUUUGAUCCAGCUCUCAGAAACUAUUACUGUCUGUUAGUAUAUUUAAUAAGAAGGUAAGUGGACUGUUAUUUCUCUUUUAUUUUAUUUUUUUUUACACACACUUUUCAAAAAAGUAAUAUUCCCUGUCAUAGGGUGGAUGAAAUGUCAUCUUGGUAGAUCACACUUUGCCAGUUUCACCCGCAUUUUUAGUCUUGUAUUGAUAAUGUCCUCUGUCUAGCUAAUUUUUUGUUUAUUUUCUUGAUUUUCCAAAUCCAGACAGAAGACCUAAUCCAUCGGCUGGAAAAAAAUCCUGUCUGUGCCUGGAACUGUAGCUGAGAAGCAGCUAUUUAUUACCGAGUGCUGCAGACAUAACAUCAGAAGACACUGAAAGCACAGAAGAGGGAAGACGCAUUCAAACCCUGAGCCCCUACCCCAAAAAAAAUUAACUUAUAUUAAAGCAGUGUAUUGAUGCCAGAGGCACAUGACACAGGAUGGUAUAUUUGCUCUUAGCCACGUUUUUGCUGUUUCAAGUCCAUUUGAUCACCUGAUGGUGUAAACCAGACAGCAUUUUAAUAAACAUUAGAAAUUUUCAUUAAUAUUAAAUUAUGAUGCUUGAAGCUUUGCACUGAAAGUCUUGGAAGAUUAUUUUACAUGUAUUGAAUCCAUGCAUUUAAAUAACUUGCACUUAUCUAGCAGGUGUAUAUUGUGGAAUAAAAAUUCUACUGUACUCACUACUAAAAUCUGACUCCAGCUCCACACUGACCCGACAGCUCAGUCUAAGUGAGACUCAUAGUUAGUAAGGCCUCAAAACUAAAUAAGCCAAUCAAGCAGACUAGAUGAAUGCAGAUAAGAGAUUUCAUUUUGUAAUCAGCGCUGACACAAGAAUUGAGAUGCUCACGCAUGAACGUCCCAACAACCUCUCUCUGGGGAACUCCAACUACAGCCUUUAUAUACAUUUCCCUUAUCUUCCCAAUGCAACACGUCACUGGUUCUUUGCCUAGACAAUCCCACCCAUCUUUCUUUUUUUAGACCUUUUAGAUUCUUUUUUACACCAUUAUCUUUGAAUUUACAACUUUUCAAAUACCAUUAUAAUUAAACUUCCCUAAAUCAUUAUAUUAAAAAUUGGGCGUUUCCGCCCCCACCAGUGGGAUUGUCUUUGGCCUCACUCUCACCAACACCUCAUUCUUCUUCAGGAGACAGGAUGGGUAAGUCCUCAGUUCUUCAGGGGCCAACACCCUUUCUUUUAUUACACUCUACACUUCACGGCUUUUCUGAUUUAUCCGCUGUCUUCUACGUAUGUACUCUAGAUAUUUCGCCUGGUACCACCAUUGCCAUCCAGCACGCGCUGUGCUUGCUUCAUGAUGAGCUCACUGCCGCUCAAGGUACCAGUGGAGCGAAGAUUGACUAUAAUAAUCUAGGGUGCGUCUCUGCCAUUGAUUGGUCCAAGUUUGGAAAGCCUGGUACCGCAGAGAAAGCCUGCCAGACUGACAUCAUUGAUACAACUAUUUGUCCUUCAAAGCCCUUGCAGCCUGUGUGCAAGGCCCGUGACAGACCAACAUGCGACCUAACGAAUAAACCUUCCCUGAGAACUCACUCCUGCUGUCCCCCGAUUAUUUCACACUACAUCAAACACACACCUCAUACAUAUAUCCUCAUUUACAAAAUUAUCUCCCACAAUAUCCAUCUCCAUAUAAUUUAAGUUUCACAUCUGGUUUUCCGUGGCAUGUGUCGGAGGACUGUGGCAUGAUUUACACUCUGAAUAGAAACCCUUUAGUGUUCAUUUAAUUACAUGCUUAAGUCUAUAAGAUGUUAAAUGACAAAUCUUGAUAGACAUUAUUCUUUGUUACAAAGAGAAUUUAUUAAUGAAAUGUAAAUGCUCUACAACCAUAAGGCAUUAGUUCUUUUGAC